UGUGCGUCCCUUCAGAGAGAUGUUGACAUAUUCUGAAAUGUCAACAGUCUGAUUGCUGAGAAUGGUCUUCAUUCUCAUGGUAGAUGUGGCAGAAAGGGAGGAAGGAAAUUUUGACACGUGCUACAACAUGAGUGAACCUUGAGGGCGUUAUGCCAACUGAAAUAAAUUCAUCACAAAAGGACAGAUACUAUCUGAUUCCACUUAGAUGAGAUUUCUUCAGGAUAUCAGUUGUAACAAUAUUGUACUGAGUAAGGCUCCAGCUAGAGUCCUGUGGCGAGUCAAUAGAGACCUCCAUCGAAGUUGAAAUGGAUCCAUUACCAAGACUUUUAGGCAGUGAUUGUUCAACCAGCUGCAAAUCAGUCUAAUUUACCCCACAUCUACCCUACGCCUCUACAGGCCAGUGUAAAAGAUUUUUGCCUAACGUCAUACUGAAAUUCACACGUGUUGCCUUGACCUUCCAGCGCAACCACAUUGUCAAAGAAAUGGAGGUCUGCUCACACCUCACAGUUCACAUUUUCUUUGGCCCCUCUCUGUUACCAACGCUGGACUUUUCCUGCUGGCCUGAGGCUCCUCUUACAUCAGACACCGGCCACCCCUAGAACUUGCUUCCUCAUUUUUUGCUGUAACUGACUGUACGACACAGUGUUGGCUCCCUAAACGCAUUGGACAUACACCUGAAUGGCUGCGCGUCAGUGGCGGUGCUUUGAGUCCUGUUUCAGGUAUGCGGUGAACUGCUCGCUUGCUCACUCAGUGAAGUUACUGAUCGCUCCCUCCAAAAGUCCAGUUCUGCCAAGACGUAAAACCCUUUUGUAACACAAGUAUAAUACUUUCGAAUGUAGAUUUUGUUUACCUGUACUGAAUUUUCUCAAAAUGAACCAUACCUUUAAACACGAUAAUGACAGGCUAGGGCUGCUGUAACUUGAAUCAUCAGUGAAUACAAUACCUGGCACAUGGUGUGCUCCUGCCGGGAAAUUCUUUAACCUCAACUCUUCAGACUUAGGAAAAUAAGUAGUAUUUUCUUUAAAUUGGUAGUUUAUGUGAGGAUAAACAAAAGCAGUUUCCAUCUGGUUUGACGUUGACCCGGGAUUAUUUUCAAGUCAUCCUUGUUCCUCCUUUGCAAACGAAAUCACAGUCUCCAGGAGGAUGCAGCCAGUUAGUCUCGCCCGUCGCUGUCUUCAGAGUCAGCACGGUACCUGGACUCUGUAGAACACGUGCUCAGUGAACAUUUCUUGAACAGAUAAAUGAGGAAUAAAUGAAUACAUGUGUACAAAAAGCUUACUUCAUCUAGUCAUAAAAUGAUUUCAGUUUGCCAUGGGAUCAAAUGUAGACAUGACCAAUGCCUUCUAGAAAGAAACCUUUGGGGCAAAAAUCACCAUCUGAGUUGCACAAAUAAUAGUAAUAUUUUUGAUCAACAGUUCUCAAAUGUUUUGUUCUCAGGACUCCUUUAUACUCUAAAAAAUUGUUGAGAACCCCAAAGAGUUUUUGCUUAUAUAGGACAUAUCCAUUGAUACUUGCAAUAUUAGAAAUUAAAACCAAAAUUAAAUGUUAAUUUGAAAUAAUAGCAAUACUCAUAAUAUACCAACAUAAUGUUUUGUGAAAAUGUAUUUUCCAAAAUAAAAAUAAAUUAUGAGUGACAUUAUUUAAAAUAUUUGAAAAUCUCUUGACUGUCUGGCUUAGUAGAAGAUAGCUGGAUUCUCGUCUCUGCUUCUGCCUUCAAUCUAUGGUAAUAUUACCUGUCAUGUGGCCUCUAGAAAACUCCACAGUAUACUCAAGAGAAUGGGAUUUUCAUUAAAAUAGUUGUGAUCUGUGGACCCCCUGAAAGGGCUUGGAGAACCCCAGGAGUCCCUGGACUAUAAUUUGAGAACCUCUGUUCUAAAUGUUUACACUUUUAAAAUAAUAAAGCUAUUCAAUUCAUAACAGUUUCUUCUUUGCCUAGAAUAUCAGAACCUUCAGGGCGAAGGUCAUCCAUCAGCUCAGGUGGGGAAUGACAGCCUGUCCAUCACCUGUCACGCUGCUCAGCUGCUGCCUGAUUGCUACUGGGCUUUUCCUUCCUUUUUAGUGUUAAUGGUUUUUGGCCGUACUUCUUCUGCGUUUUCAUUAGAAGAUGCUGCCAGUCCUUUCUGGAAAGAGGUUAAGUGUUUAAAAGUAUAGGAAUAUCUGUCUAUCCAUCUAUCUAUCUAUCUACACACACAUAAAAAGCAACACAUACAAGUUUGAAAGUACACUUUCAUUUCAUUUUCAGUAUCUAUCUAGCUAACGCACCUCAACAGGAUGAAAAUAUAUAAUAUAGUCACUUGAAAGGUUAAGAAAAUCCUCAGGUUGUCUGAAUGGGCCUUCUUCACAGAGCCCAGAGAAUGGGGUUCAAGUGCAGGGCCUGCUCUCUAAACAGCUACAGCUCCAUGACAGGCAAUUUAUCACUCAAGAAAUGAGGCAAAUCAUCAAGGUCUCAGAGUGUCUGAACUGUUCCUCAGAACUCCCACCCGGACCAUCCACUUUUUCUCUGUCAAUAACUAAUUUGACUGAAGCCUAUGAGAGUCGCACUUUUUCAGUGCCAGCCCACUGCAUGUCAUUUUUCUGUCUGGGAGAACUGCCCUUCAGUCAUCCAGGCGGGUGAGCGCCCCGCCUUGCCUGUCUCAGGGCACCCUGUUUGGGGCCACCCUUGACCGGAUCAGGUUGUGCACCUGACCCAGGCUGAGCCAACCGCAUUCUCUCUCGUGGGAAUGUGGCCUCGGAUUGAGCACAGCCAGCUACCCGGGACCGACCUCUUCAGUAGGGAGGGUGUAAACCCGGCAGUUGUGAGGGAUCCUCUUCCACUCAGCUGCCCAGAGAGAAGAAGGAAGGAGAGUUGAUUGCAGAGAGACGUGGAGCAGAGGCGAAGGCUGGAGAAGGCCUGCUUCCUGGCUUCCUCGUAGCCAUCUGUCCUUGGGCUUCAUGAGAUACUGCCUCACCACAUAUUUCCCUUAAUAAUUAAGCCAGCUCAAGUUGAUUCCUUGCAACCAAAAGCUCUCAACUAAAGCAAAGGCAAAGCCAGAAGCAUUGGUGAGUUUUUCGCUACAGCCGGGUCCUGUAAAAGAUCCUGGAGAGGAUUGAUUGUAGGUCCUAAAUACGCAUCAUCGACUCACUGAAGGCUUCCAUCCGGCCAAAACACGUUUCCAUCCAAGGCCAACUAGAUUAGGAAAUGGCGUUUCCUCCUGCUUUCCAUCCCUGGAGGGCAAAUGUACAGAUGACUGGAGUUAGCAAUUGACUCUGUGGGUUAGUAUUUGCUGAGGGCACACGCCCAGGGACUUGAAUGACAGCAAUCCCCAGGUGCCAGGGAGGAGGCUGGCAAUUACGCUUCCCAUCACUGGCCUAUUCACCACUCCUGCAAACCAGCAUUCCUCAGAGCACUGACCCUCAAUGACUGGCAGGGCGACCGACUUUUAAAAGUGCCCAUUUUUAGCAGCUGGAAAUAAUAAACAGAGGGAAGUGAAGAUGCUGGAGGACUGAUUUCUCUUCCACUGUUUUCAAAAGUCAAAAGAUGCUAUAGACUAGUGGACUGGCAAGGAUGCCACGGAAAGCUGGUGCAACUCCUGCCGCAGAGCAGCUGUGUGAUGAUGGGUUAGUCCAUACACCUCCCUGGGCCUCAGUUUUUACAGCUGCAGAAUGACGAGUUCAUCUUCUUGUGACAGAGCCGGCGGCAGCCUGUGCGUGCGGAAGGCCCACAGUCACACCCGAUCUAAACGCCCUGGAUGUGGCAAGAUCUACUGAGUUUGAAGACGGGAAAGGGAGAAAUAAGACUACGUGGCCAUCGUUUCUGGCAGCAGAAAUACUACACUUUCCUUCCCUGGGACUCUGCCAUCAUCUCCGCACCUCCUUCCCCCUG
Equus caballus (horse) is the source of this 3862-nucleotide long non-coding RNA. Lineage: Eukaryota; Metazoa; Chordata; Mammalia; Perissodactyla; Equidae. The record is from Ensembl.